This is an RNA transcript of Helianthus annuus (common sunflower), 1194 nucleotides long. It is a transcript of the gene named mediator of RNA polymerase II transcription subunit 19a, with no coding region annotated. The record is from RefSeq and is a predicted model, not a curated record. Lineage: Eukaryota; Viridiplantae; Streptophyta; Magnoliopsida; Asterales; Asteraceae. The transcript has 7 exons.
CAGGUCCAUUUUCGUUAGUAGAUGCGUUAAGACAACAAUAAGUUUUCAACACUCUCUCUUCAACAUACGCUAGGGUUUAUUUCCGUUAAAAGGGGGAAACGACGACGAACACAAAUACGGAUUCGAAGCUAUAAAUUCUGCUAAUUCGCUAGUUAAUCAAUCGAUUUUGCAUAAUUGUUAGGAGGAUUUGUAUGCGAAUUGGUUGAAUUUGAGCUGUACGGAUCUCUUAUGCAUCAAGCAAGCUGAUGACGGUGUAUACUCAUACAAGAUACUAACGGAUGGAUCCUGAAAGCAAGACGUUUGGAAAAGGGCCAAGAGAACUUACGGGUGCUGUGGAUCUUAUAAGCUACUAUAAAUUAUUGCCUCACCAUGAAUUCUUCUGCAAGAAAUCACUUCCGUUGUCAAUUUCAGAUACACAUUACCUGCAUAACGUUGUUGGAGACUCAGAAAUUAGAAAAGGCGAAGGGAUGCAGUUGGAUCAGCUUAUCCAGAAUACAUCCUACUCAAGGGACACAAAUACGCGCAUACAACCAUUUGACCUCGACAUCCUCAGGGAAGCCUUUCAGUUAAGGGAAUCUGCUCCUGUUGACCUUCCAUCUUCAGAGAAGGGAAUUCCUACUGUAGCCGGAAAAUCUAAAAGUGAAUCGAAGGACAAAGAGAAAAAGCACAAAAAGCACAAGGACAAGGAUAAGGAUAGAGAGCAUAAAAAACAUAAGCAUCGUCAUAAAGAUAAAGAUCGAAGUAAAGAUAAGGAUAAGGAAAAGAAGAAGGAUAAAAGCAGUCAUGACAAGAAAAGGAAGCAUGAUGGAGACGAAGAUCUCAAUGACAUUCACAGGCACAAGAAAAGUAAGCACAAGGGCUCAAAAUUGGAUGAAAUGGGUGCAAUAAAGGUAGCAGCAUGAAAGUGGCAUGUAGUCUGUAUUAUUGUUUGUCCUCGAUGUUGCAAAUUAAAACCCGAGAGGUCCUUAGUGUGGUUAAAACAAUCGAGAACGCUACCUGGACUAACUAAAGAUUACCAAGAUGGUGAAUUCACCUGUUGAAUUAGAUUUAUUUGAAGGUACAAAUUGAGGGAAAACAGACUUUUUUGUAUCAUAGAUGACCUUUAAUCCAAAACUUCAAUCUUUUAUUUCAGUUUUAGUGGAGCCGCAUAAACAAAAUGUUGUGUAUCAAUAUCAGUUUUGUCACGUUUUGGAA